CCUUGAAAAGAGGGUUAAACAGUACGUGAAAUUGUUGAAAGGGAAGCGCUUGUGACCAGACUUGGGCGCGGCGGAUCAUCCGGGGUUCUCUCCGGUGCACUUCGCCGCGUUCAGGCCAGCAUCAGUUCGUCGCGGGGGAAAAAGGCUUCGGGAACGUGGCUCCUCCGGGAGUGUUAUAGCCCGUUGCAUAAUACCCUGCGGUGGACUGAGGACCGCGCAUCUGCAAGGAUGCUGGCGUAAUGGUCACCAGCGACCCGUCUUGAAACACGGACCAAGA
Molecule: ribosomal RNA, 277 nt
Filed under: Trichoderma sp. BAB-3170
Lineage: Eukaryota; Fungi; Ascomycota; Sordariomycetes; Hypocreales; Hypocreaceae
Also listed under: 1 other name
Description: partial 28S ribosomal RNA
Rfam family: Eukaryotic large subunit ribosomal RNA
Source: RNAcentral